RNAcentral lists this ribosomal RNA (253 nucleotides) under uncultured bacterium. RNAcentral's name for it is "partial 16S ribosomal RNA". It matches the Rfam family "Bacterial small subunit ribosomal RNA", at positions 524 to 776 of the family's 1533-position model. The record is from RNAcentral.
CACGGGGGGCGCAAGCGUUGUUCGGAAUCACUGGGCGUAAAGCGCACGUAGGCGGCUUACUAAGUCAGGGGUGAAAUCCUGGAGCUCAACUCCAGAACUGCCUUUGAUACUGGUAAGCUCGAGUCCGGGAGAGGUGAGUGGAACUGCGAGUGUAGAGGUGAAAUUCGUAGAUAUUCGCAAGAACACCAGUGGCGAAGGCGGCUCACUGGCCCGGUACUGACGCUGAGGUGCGAAAGCGUGGGGAGCAAACAGG